GACGAACCGUGCGAACGUUGUUCGGAAUCACUGGGCUUAAAGGGUGCGUAGGCGGGUUGUCCAGUCUGGGGUGAAAUCCCACGGCUCAACCGUGGAAUUGCCUCAGAUACUGACGACCUCGAGGGAGGUAGGGGCGAGCGGAACUGUGGGUGGAGCGGUGAAAUGCGUUGAGAUCCAUAGGAACUCCGGUGGCGAAGGCGGCUCGCUGGACCUCUUCUGACGAUGAGGCACGAAAGCUAGGGGAGCAAACGGG
Molecule: ribosomal RNA, 253 nt
Filed under: uncultured bacterium
Lineage: Bacteria
Description: partial 16S ribosomal RNA
Rfam family: Bacterial small subunit ribosomal RNA
Source: RNAcentral